GGUGAACGCUCGCGGUACGUCUAACACAUGCAAGUCGAACGCCCGCACUGUAAGAGCUUACCCCUACGGGUGGCGACUUGCGGACGGGUGAGGCAUACAUCGGAAUCCACUUUUCCGUGGGGGACAACGUAGGGCAACUUACGCUAACACCUCAUACCACCUACGGGUGAAAGCAGUGGAUCUUCGGACCUUUCGCGUUUCAAUGAGCCGAUGUCGGUUUAGUUAGUUGGCGGGGUAAAGGCCCACCAAGGCGACGAUCCGUAGCUGGUCUGAGAGGAUGAUCGGCCACACUGGAACUGAGACACGGUCCAGACUCCUACGGGAGGCAGCAGUGGGGAAUAUUGGACAAUGAGCGCAAGCCUGAUCCAGCCAUACCGCGUGGGUGAAGAAGGCCUUCGGGUUGUAAAGCCCUUUUGUUGGGAAAGAAAAGCAGCAGGUUAAUACCCCGCUGUUCUGACGGUACCCAAAGAAUAAGCACCGGCUAACUUCGUG
This 492-nucleotide ribosomal RNA is filed under the name uncultured bacterium. RNAcentral's name for it is "partial 16S ribosomal RNA". It matches the Rfam family "Bacterial small subunit ribosomal RNA", at positions 28 to 507 of the family's 1533-position model. The record is from RNAcentral.